AACCCCCUGAGUGGCACGUGAUGAGCCGACGCACCGUAGAACCAACAUUCGUAUGCAGGGAGUCCGAAUUCUGCGCGCCCGUGCCUGCCCGGCUUCGACCGGGACGCUGAAGGCCCGCCGUGAGGACACCCACCUGACGCGUUUCAGGUUCUAAACGCGACGCUCGCACGGCCACUCGGGGGGCGC
This 186-nucleotide non-coding RNA is filed under the name Thermoanaerobaculia bacterium. Its description in RNAcentral is "6S RNA". It matches the Rfam family "6S / SsrS RNA". From Rfam's summary of the family: E. coli 6S RNA was the first non coding RNA to be sequenced, but its function was unknown until recently. The record is from RNAcentral. Lineage: Bacteria; Pseudomonadati; Acidobacteriota; Thermoanaerobaculia.